GCUGUUUGUCAACAUGACGCGUGACGACAGUCACAACAACAACAACAACAACACGUGCCGAUUCUGCAGAUGAUUUAGUCUUCAAAGCUUUUACUGACACUUUGACAGCACAUCUUUCAGCUCAGCUGGAAACUAAACCGAGCGAUAAAACGAGUGUCACGCGACUCACCUUCUUGAAUCUUCAGAAUAAGUGAUGCAUUGUUCGUUGUAAACUCAUCCGGCUGAAGCAGAUCUCUGGAUGUGUGGACAGAUGUUGACUGUAAUGAUGGACAGUCUGUACAAAAGUAUAACUGCUGCAGGAGGAGACCGUACUGAUACUCGACUAGAUCUCUUGCUGGAAUACAGGAUGAACUUUUAUAUGACUUCGCAAUAAAGACAUUAAAGUAAGGUGUGUUUGUGAAUUUUGGAGUUGGGAUUUGAACCCAUGUCUCAUCCUCAGAGAACAUGUGUUUAUCCACUAUGGAGUCAAUGAUGUAAAUGAUGACAACUGUGUUACAGUUGUGCUUAACUUUUACUUUCUUGUGGUUAGGGUUUUGCAUCACAACUUCAGCACAGUGCAAAAAGAGUUUUCCAAAAAGAGUGCAUGAGAUCUGCAAACAGUGUCUAAACUGCCUGAACUUGAUUAGGGUUUUGCACACGUUUGCUGUUAUUUUUUGAUUUAUUGUGGUUAUAACUCGAGCUGGAGUUGGCCUUACAUUUUUAAUAGCAUUUAAUAAAUAGUUGAUUACCCCGUGAUUUACUAGAUGUUAAUUACCAAAAUGCCAAAUAACCUCUUUUGAUUAGCAAAAAAAAUAUUCUUAGAUCUGUAAAAUACAAAAUGUAUUUUUAAUAGAUUUUGGAAGUAUAACAGUAAAGUUGGGAUGCCAGUGCACUGUAAAAACACCAGAGGGCAGUGCAGAAUAUAUAACUGUAGUUUUUUCGCAUAGGAAAUCAAUAAAUAAUAAUCACCACUUUUCAGUCAAUUACUUAUCAAGUUUAUUGGUUAUUUACUACAGUAGGUGUUACUCUCUCCAGACACUCAUAUGGGUAGAUAAAAUAAGCCACAUAAAAUGUUAAAAGAAUGGCAAAAGCUUACAGGUACAUUCAAAGAGGCAAUUGAAUGUUAGUCGAAAAAAAA
Long non-coding RNA from Carassius auratus (goldfish), 1117 nucleotides. RefSeq lists it as uncharacterized. The record is from RefSeq and is a predicted model, not a curated record. The transcript has 3 exons. Lineage: Eukaryota; Metazoa; Chordata; Actinopteri; Cypriniformes; Cyprinidae.